RNAcentral lists this transfer RNA (74 nucleotides) under Chloroflexota bacterium. Its description in RNAcentral is "Chloroflexi bacterium (bioreactor metagenome) tRNA-His". It matches the Rfam family "tRNA". Rfam says of the family: Transfer RNA (tRNA) molecules are approximately 80 nucleotides in length. Their secondary structure includes four short double-helical elements and three loops (D, anti-codon, and T loops). Lineage: Bacteria; Bacillati; Chloroflexota. The record is from RNAcentral.
GAGCCUAUGGUGUAACGGCAGCACAACACACUGUGGAUGUGUUAGUAUGGGUUCGAAACCCAUUAGGCUCCCCA